Molecule: ribosomal RNA, 380 nt
Filed under: uncultured bacterium
Lineage: Bacteria
Description: bacterial SSU rRNA
Rfam family: Bacterial small subunit ribosomal RNA
Source: RNAcentral
UACGAAGGACCCAAGCGUUAUCCGGAUUUAUUGGGUUUAAAGGGUGCGUAGGCGGGUUAUUAAGUCAGNGGUGAAAGCCUGCAGCUUAACUGCAGAACUGCCAUUGAUACUGAUGAUCUUGAGUAUGAUUGAGGUGGGCGGAAUGUGUCAUGUAGCGGUGAAAUGCUUAGAUAUGACACAGAACACCGAUUGCGAAGGCAGCUCACUAANCCAUAACUGACGCUGAUGCACGAAAGCGUGGGGAGCAAACAGGAUUAGAUACCCUGGUAGUCCACGCCCUAAACGAUGAUCACUCGAUGUGUGCGAUACACUGUACGCGUCUGAGCGAAAGCAUUAAGUGAUCCACCUGGGGAGUACGACCGCAAGGUUGAAACUCAAAG